Molecule: transfer RNA, 61 nt
Filed under: Quadristernoseta cf. intermedia XFX-2019
Lineage: Eukaryota; Metazoa; Arthropoda; Arachnida; Mesostigmata; Diplogyniidae
Description: tRNA-Leu
Source: RNAcentral
ACUAAUUAGGCAGAAUUAUUGUAUCAAAUUUAGAAUUUGAAUAUGGGUAUACCAGUUAGUA